GCUUCCGGAACUUCCACAAUAGUGGAAUUCAUCUUCCAUAGAAAUGAGUCCGCUUCCGUUUCGGAUGCCAAAGCCAAUGACCGGCAGGGAGCUUCAAGGAAUGUCUGUGCCUCGUGCAUGUGUCUGCUGCCCACGGAGGACAGAAGAGGGCAUCAGAUUCUCUGGAACUGGAGUUAUGUAUGGUUGUGAGCUGCCAUGUGGUUACUGGGAGAAAACGCAGGUCCUCUGGAAGAGCAGCCAGUGCCCUUAACUACCAUCACCCCAGACAAAGAGGAAAGAACUUAGACAUGUAAGAGAGGGACAUGGGAAUGGACUUUUCAUGUGUUGCUAACCUAGGCAUCACAUUCUGACUUUAUCUCCCCAGA
Myodes glareolus (Bank vole) is the source of this 365-nucleotide non-coding RNA. The record is from RefSeq and is a predicted model, not a curated record. NCBI's taxonomy places the organism in Eukaryota, Metazoa, Chordata, Mammalia, Rodentia, Cricetidae.